CAACCCCGCACAGUUCAAGAGCCCGUGUGUCUGUUGAAGACGCAUCGACCAAAUGUUAUAUUUUUAUCUGAGACCAGAAAGAAUAAAGAAUACGUCGAAAGUUUGCGUUAUCGUUUGGGCAUGAAUAAUGUUUUUACUGUUUCUGUGCAAGGUAAAGGUGGUGAGUUGGCUGUUUUCUGGGAUGAUAUGUACACCCUUGAGCUGAACAAGUUUGGGGAGCACUUUGUUGAUAUGUAUGUGAGCAAUGCGGAGGGCAAAAAGUGGAGAAGCACUUUUCGUUUACGAUGA
Molecule: ribosomal RNA, 288 nt
Filed under: Triticum aestivum (bread wheat)
Lineage: Eukaryota; Viridiplantae; Streptophyta; Magnoliopsida; Poales; Poaceae
Description: partial small subunit ribosomal RNA
Source: RNAcentral